UCGUUGGAUAGCGUCGUCGGUGCUUCCUGCGGCGCCUCCUCUUCAUGUAUAGUUAUCUUCUCUCUCCACACCUGACUCGGUGCUACGGUCUCCUCAGGAUAAUCUUUGUUCAAGCUGUAUGUCUUCAGACCUUACUACUUCUCCUUCAUAGUCUGCCCAUCCGUCCUUGAUGAUUUCCCUCCUCUGGUUGCGGUUGCGUCGUCUUCUUCUUGUCCUGACCUGCUUAGAGUCUUCAACUAUAUAGCUAGGGUCAGUAAAAUAGCGGCGUACCUUCUCUGAGGGUAAGUGCAUAUGGACUUCUCUAGUUCCAAUGUAGAUGAUUGCUUUAACGAUGCUGAGGAACGGUCUUCCAAGGAUGAUGGGUGGAUCGUAUUCGUCUUCUCCCAUGUCAAUAACCUG
RNAcentral lists this long non-coding RNA (399 nucleotides) under Sorghum bicolor (sorghum). Its description in RNAcentral is "long non-coding RNA (SBIC_LNC017169)". Lineage: Eukaryota; Viridiplantae; Streptophyta; Magnoliopsida; Poales; Poaceae. The record is from RNAcentral.